This 477-nucleotide ribosomal RNA is filed under the name uncultured bacterium. RNAcentral's name for it is "bacterial SSU rRNA". It matches the Rfam family "Bacterial small subunit ribosomal RNA", at positions 10 to 507 of the family's 1533-position model. The record is from RNAcentral.
AGUUUGAUCAUGGCUCAGAUUGAACGCUGGCGGCAGGCCUAACACAUGCAAGUCGAGCGGUAGAGAGGUGCUUGCAUCUCUUGAGAGCGGCGGACGGGUGAGUAAUGCCUAGGAAUCUGCCUAGUGGUGGGGGAUAACGUUCGGAAACGGACGCUAAUACCGCAUACGUCCUACGGGAGAAAGCGGGGGAUCUUCGGACCUCGCGCCAUUAGAUGAGCCUAGGUCGGAUUAGCUAGUUGGUGAGGUAAUGGCUCACCAAGGCGACGAUCCGUAACUGGUCUGAGAGGAUGAUCAGCCACACUGGGACUGAGACACGGCCCAGACUCCUACGGGAGGCAGCAGUGGGGAAUAUUGGACAAUGGGCGAAAGCCUGAUCCAGCAAUGCCGCGUGAGUGAUGAAGGCCUUAGGGUUGUAAAGCUCUUUUACUCGGGACGAUAAUGACGGUACCGAGAGAAUAAGCCCCGGCUAACUCCGUG